GGGAAGAAGAAAAGGGGUGAAAGAAAAGGGAACUUUGUGGUAUUCCGGAAAGUAUGCCUGUUUGAGGGUCAGUUAAAUUAAAAUCGGUGUUGUUGCUACCCGUAGUGGUGUGUGAUGCAUCGGAAUUGAGUCGUUCUUUACCUUUGGUUUAAGUGACUUAAAAUUAUGUUCGAUUUUUGAACGUAUUUAAAUUAUUACUUACGUUCGUAAUACCACAUAUUAGGUGCGGUCAUUCACAUGAUUUCGAGUCUAUAAUUUUUCAUUAUUUGACCUCAAAUCAGGUAAGAAUACCCGCUGAA
This 299-nucleotide unclassified non-coding RNA is filed under the name Glomus sp. RNAcentral describes it as "partial contains 5.8S ribosomal RNA, internal transcribed spacer 2, and large subunit ribosomal RNA". Lineage: Eukaryota; Fungi; Glomeromycota; Glomeromycetes; Glomerales; Glomeraceae. The record is from RNAcentral.